ACCUGAGGUUAUGUCUAAUAAAAGGACGAGGCCAUAAGGCUCUUUCACAAGACGUCUCAAGCUGGCUGGCUGCCUCCAUGUGAUUUCUGAAUGGACAGGCGGUGGAGCGUUAAAGCCAACGUGCCCCUGAUGCAUCUUUGUGCCGUGAAGUGAUGUAGUAACAGAGCCCAAAUGGUCGACAUGUGAACAGGUAAAAAAAUUACUUACCCAAAGUGUUCCUCUGGAGGAAACUAAUAGGCUGCAGAUCCCCCCUUCUCUUCUAAGAGUUCAUUCUCCAGCGCAGACUGGGUGGGUUGGACACUGUUUUGAGAGCCAUGCGUCAGGGGUGAGGGGUCUUUGCUGCAGGAGACACAACCAUCACCGGGUGAAGAGGCAGUCGAGGCCGGUCAGUGAGGAGAUGAAGCUCAAACAG
This is a long non-coding RNA of Nematolebias whitei (Rio pearlfish), 412 nucleotides long. RefSeq lists it as uncharacterized. NCBI's taxonomy places the organism in Eukaryota, Metazoa, Chordata, Actinopteri, Cyprinodontiformes, Rivulidae. The record is from RefSeq and is a predicted model, not a curated record. The transcript is spliced from 3 exons.